GGGAAUGUGGCUUAGUGGUAGAGUGCUUGCCUAGCAUGCAUGAAGCCCUGGGUUCGAUUCCUCAGUACUA
This is a non-coding RNA of Dipodomys ordii (Ord's kangaroo rat), 70 nucleotides long. The record is from Rfam. Lineage: Eukaryota; Metazoa; Chordata; Mammalia; Rodentia; Heteromyidae.